Molecule: small nuclear RNA, 127 nt
Rfam family: U4 spliceosomal RNA
About the family: U4 small nuclear RNA (U4 snRNA) is a component of the major U2-dependent spliceosome. The structure of U4 snRNA from yeast and human has been reported. U4 snRNA presents a k-turn RNA motif in the 5p-SL related to recognition of Snu13 protein.
Source: Rfam
AUUUUUACGCAGAGACAGAUUGAAAGUAAAUGACCGACAAGUGAUGCUUUCUUCUUGCUAUUUGCAAACUAAUAUCCAAAACACUCUUGGCUUCGGCCUUUGAGUAAUUUUUGUCCAUAUUAUUAUA